RNAcentral lists this ribosomal RNA (430 nucleotides) under uncultured bacterium. Its description in RNAcentral is "bacterial SSU rRNA". It matches the Rfam family "Bacterial small subunit ribosomal RNA", at positions 158 to 564 of the family's 1533-position model. The record is from RNAcentral.
UCGGGCUAAUACUGCAUAGAGCGACGGAAUCCGUAAUUGGGUUUUUCGGGAAAGGGAGCUCGCAAGAGCCCUCGCUUUGGGAUGAGCCUGCGUCUCAUUAGCUAGUUGGUGGGGUAAUGGCCCACCAAGGCUUUGAUGGGUAGCUGGUCUGAGAGGAUGAUCAGCCACACUGGAACUGAAACACGGUCCAGACUCCUACGGGAGGCAGCAGUGGGGAAUCUUGCGCAAUGGACGAAAGUCUGACGCAGCCACGCCGCGUGAGUGAAGAAGGCCUUCGGGUUGUAAAGCUCUGUCGGACGGGACGAAAAGCCAUACAGUUAAGAGCUGGGUGGCCUGACGGUACCGUUAAAGGAAGCACCGGCUAACUUCGUGCCAGCAGCCCGCGGUAAUACGAGGGGUGCGAGCGUUGCUCGGAAUUAUUGGGCGUAAA